AUUGAACGCUGGCGGCAGGCCUAACACAUGCAAGUCGAGCGGAUGAUGGGAGCUUGCUCCUGGAUGCAGCGGCGGACGGGUGAGUCAUGCCUAGGAAUCUGCCUGGUCGCGGGGGAUAACGUCCUGAAACGGGCGCUAAUACCGCAUACGUCCGGAUGGUGACAGAGGGUGAUCUUCGGACCUCACGCUAUGAGAUGAGCCUAGGUCGGAUUAGCUAGUUGGUGGGGUAACGGCCUACCAAGGCGACGAUGCGUAACUGGUCUGAGAGGAUGAUCCGGCACACUGGAACUGAGACACGGUCCAGACUCCUACGGGAGGCAGCAGUGGGGAAUAUUGGGCAAUGGGCGAGAGCCUGAUACAGCCAUGCCGCGUGUGUGAAGAAGGUCUUCGGAUUGUAAAGCACUUUAAGUUGGGAGGAAGGGCAGUAAGUUAAUACCUUGCUGUUUUGACGUUACCAAAAGAAUAAGCACCGGCUAACUUCGUG
Molecule: ribosomal RNA, 484 nt
Filed under: uncultured bacterium
Lineage: Bacteria
Description: partial 16S ribosomal RNA
Rfam family: Bacterial small subunit ribosomal RNA
Source: RNAcentral